Pyrus x bretschneideri (Chinese white pear) is the source of this 624-nucleotide long non-coding RNA. RefSeq lists it as uncharacterized. The transcript is spliced from 3 exons. The record is from RefSeq and is a predicted model, not a curated record. NCBI's taxonomy places the organism in Eukaryota, Viridiplantae, Streptophyta, Magnoliopsida, Rosales, Rosaceae.
AAAACCAUUUCUCUCCCUGUAAACUCUUUAGCUCUCGAAUUCUGUCUUAUCAUUUUCCCUCACCAACACCUAGCACCACCAUCACAACGUCACUUUUCCCGGCCUGAAACCGGCAAAGUGCCACUAGUGAAAUCUCGGUGAAUCCAAGACUAAUCCAUUCCAAAUCCUCCCAAAUCGAAGUUUAGGAUCCGGCGAAUUCCGGAGUCGGAGCAUGGCAAUCACCGUUAAUUUUAAUGGCGACGGCAGCGGAUUCCCUUAUAUCUAAAGGAAUCUUCACAAAAUCAGGCAUAUUUUGUUAACACUUCAAACUGAAUCCAAUAACAGACGUGUGGCCAUCGAUGACCGGCACUUGGCUACCGGCGACAGCGACUACAACUGUACUCGCAGAUGAUGGCGGCGAUGACGGUGGCGUGUCUACUUGCGUGUGGCGGUGCUUGACACCACCACAGCGGCGCAUGCGGUGGCGCGUGGGGACCCAAGAUCUACUUUAGGUUUUCCUAUGUCUCAAAUCGUGCGGCGCUCUUUGUUUAGGCAAAUUCAAUGCCGUUAAUCAUGUUUAGGUGAUAGAAUUUGUGAAACACUAGAAAGUGCUAAAUAAAACUAAGUAAUAUUUUAUAGGUGCAA